CACGGGGGGAGCAAGCGUUGUCCGGAUUCAUUGGGCGUAAAGGGCGCGUAGGCGGCGUGGUAAGUCAGCUGUGAAAUCUCCGAGCUUAACUCGGAACGGUCAGCUGAUACUGCUGUGCUAGAGUGCAGAAAGGGCAAUCGGAAUUCUUGGUGUAGCGGUGAAAUGCGUAGAUAUCAAGAGGAACACCUGAGGCGAAGGCGGGUUGCUAGGCUGACACUGACGCUGAGGCGCGAAAGCUAGGGUAGCAAACGGG
RNAcentral lists this ribosomal RNA (253 nucleotides) under uncultured bacterium. RNAcentral describes it as "partial 16S ribosomal RNA". It matches the Rfam family "Bacterial small subunit ribosomal RNA", at positions 524 to 776 of the family's 1533-position model. The record is from RNAcentral.